AGCACGUAGGUGGGUUUGUAAGUCAGACGUGAAAGCCUUCUGUUCAACGGAAGAAUUGCAUCUGAAACUACAAACCUUGAGUGUAGGAGGGGAGAAUGGAACUUCUGGUGGAGCGGUGAAAUGCGUAGAUAUCAGAAGGAACGCCGGCGGCGGAAGCGAUUCUCUGGCCUAUUACUGACACUCAGUGUGCGAAAGCUAGGGGAGCAAACGGGAUUAGAUACCCCGGUAGUCCUAGCCGUAAACGAUGGGCACUAAGUAGAGGGG
RNAcentral lists this ribosomal RNA (264 nucleotides) under uncultured Planctomycetota bacterium. RNAcentral's name for it is "uncultured planctomycete partial 16S ribosomal RNA". It matches the Rfam family "Bacterial small subunit ribosomal RNA", at positions 567 to 828 of the family's 1533-position model. Lineage: Bacteria; Pseudomonadati; Planctomycetota. The record is from RNAcentral.